RNAcentral lists this ribosomal RNA (488 nucleotides) under uncultured bacterium. RNAcentral describes it as "partial 16S ribosomal RNA". It matches the Rfam family "Bacterial small subunit ribosomal RNA", at positions 29 to 523 of the family's 1533-position model. The record is from RNAcentral.
AAUGAACGUUGGCGGCGUGGAUUAGGCAUGCAAGUCGAGCGUGAUCAGUUUGGUGCUUGCAUUAAACUGUGAAAGCGGCGAAAGGGACAGUAACGCGUAGUUACCUGCCUCAGGGUUCAGAAUAGCUACGGGAAACUGUGGGUAAUGCGGAAUAACAUCUCCGGAUCAAAGGCGGGAUUCCGCCCUGAGAGGGGACUGCGUCCUACUAGUUUGUUGGUGGGUUAAUGGCCUACCAGGACUUUGAUGGGUAGCGGGUGUGAGAGCAUGACCCGGCUCACUGGGACUGAGACACUGCCCAGACACCUACGGGUGGCUGCAGUCGAGAAUCGUCGGCAAUGCGCGCAAGCGUGACCGAGCGACGCCGCGUGCGGGAUGAAGGCCUUCGGGUUGUAAACCGCUGUCGUAGGGGAGGAAGGCUCCAUGAAGAAUGGGGUUUGACCUAUCCUAGGAGGAAGGACGGGCUAAGUUCGUGCCAGCAGCCGCCGUAA